RNAcentral lists this ribosomal RNA (217 nucleotides) under uncultured bacterium. Its description in RNAcentral is "partial 16S ribosomal RNA". It matches the Rfam family "Bacterial small subunit ribosomal RNA", at positions 524 to 738 of the family's 1533-position model. The record is from RNAcentral.
UACAGAGGGUGCGAGCGUUGUCCGGAAUCACUGGGCGUAAAGGGCGCGUAGGUGGCGACCCAAGUCGAUGGUGAAAGCUCGCCGCUCAACGGCGAGUCGGCCAUCGAUACUGGGUUGCUGGAGCACUGUAGAGGCAGAUGGAAUUCCGGGUGUAGCGGUGGAAUGCGUAGAGAGUCCGGAAGAACGACCGGUGGCGAAGGCGGUCUGCUGGGCAGUU